CUGGGGCUUUGGCAGGAGACGUGUGAAAAUCCCCAGUGGAAUAGGGAAAGCCACAUACCAAAGCCGGGCCAGAAUCUCUGGCCCCCCCUAUAAGGCUGUGACCUAGGAGUACAGGCAAAUGGGGAUCCUGUUUGUCACUGCUACCAUCGGCUGGGGGCUUCCAGAUUACCAGGAGUCUACAUCCCCAUUUUUACAAAUGAAGAAACCA
This 208-nucleotide long non-coding RNA is filed under the name Macaca mulatta (Rhesus monkey). RNAcentral describes it as "lncRNA (ENSMMUG00000057354.1)". The record is from RNAcentral. Lineage: Eukaryota; Metazoa; Chordata; Mammalia; Primates; Cercopithecidae.